RNAcentral lists this ribosomal RNA (497 nucleotides) under uncultured bacterium. RNAcentral's name for it is "partial 16S ribosomal RNA". It matches the Rfam family "Bacterial small subunit ribosomal RNA", at positions 28 to 507 of the family's 1533-position model. The record is from RNAcentral.
GACGAACGCUGGCGGUGUGCCUAAUACAUGCAAGUAGAACGCUGAAGCGAGGAGCUUGCUCUUCUUGGAUGAGUUGCGAACGGGUGAGUAACGCGUAGGUAGCCUGCCUGGUAGCGGGGGAUAACUAUUGGAAACGAUAGCUAAUACCGCAUAAAAUUGAUUAUUGCAUGAUAAUUAAUUGAAAGAUGCAACUGCAUCACUACCAGAUGGACCUGCGCUGUAUUAGCUAGUUGGUGAGGUAACGGCUCACCAAGGCGACGAUACAUAGCCGACCUGAGAGGGUGAUCGGCCACACUGGGACUGAGACACGGCCCAGACUCCUACGGGAGGCAGCAGUAGGGAAUCUUCGGCAAUGGGGGGAACCCUGACCGAGCAACGCCGCGUGAGUGAAGAAGGUUUUCGGAUCGUAAAGCUCUGUUGUAAGAGAAGAACGGGUGUGAGAGUGGAAAGUUCACACUGUGACGGUAUCUUACCAGAAAGGGACGGCUAACUACGUG